AUUGAACGUUGGCGGCAGGCCUAACACAUGCAAGUCGAGCGGAUGAAGGGAGCUUGCUCCUGGAUUCAGCGGCGGACGGGUGAGUAAUGCCUAGGAAUCUGCCUGGUAGUGGGGGAUAACGUCCGGAAACGGGCGCUAAUACCGCAUACGUCCUGAGGGAGAAAGUGGGGGAUCUUCGGACCUCACGCUAUCAGAUGAGCCUAGGUCGGAUUAGCUAGUUGGUGGGGUAAAGGCCUACCAAGGCGACGAUCCGUAACUGGUCUGAGAGGAUGAUCAGUCACACUGGAACUGAGACACGGUCCAGACUCCUACGGGAGGCAGCAGUGGGGAAUAUUGGACAAAGGGCGAAAGCCUGAUCCAGCCAUGCCGCGUGUGUGAAGAAGGUCUUCGGAUUGUAAAGCACCUUAAGUUGGGAGGAAGGGCAGUAAGUUAAUACCUUGCUGUUUUGACGUUACCAACAGAAUAAGCACCGGCUAACUUCGUG
Molecule: ribosomal RNA, 484 nt
Filed under: uncultured bacterium
Lineage: Bacteria
Description: partial 16S ribosomal RNA
Rfam family: Bacterial small subunit ribosomal RNA
Source: RNAcentral